CCUACGGGGUGCUGCAGUGGGGAAUAUUGGACAAUGGGCGAAAGCCUGAUCCAGCCAUGCCGCGUGUGUGAAGAAGGCCUUCGGGUUGUAAAGCACUUUCAGUGGGGAAGAAAGCCUUGGGGCUAAUACCCUCGAGGAAGGACAUCACCCACAGAAGAAGCACCGGCUAACUCCGUGCCAGCAGCCGCGGUAAUAUGGAGGGUGCGAGCGUUAAUCGGAAUUACUGGGCGUAAAGCGCGCGUAGGCGGUCUGAUAAGCCGGUUGUGAAAGCCCCGGGCUCAACCUGGGAACGGCAUCCGGAACUGUCAGGCUAGAGUGCAGGAGAGGAAGGUAGAAUUCCCGGUGUAGCGGUGAAAUGCGUAGAGAUCGGGAGGAAUACCAGUGGCGAAGGCGGCCUUCUGGACUGACACUGACGCUGAGGUGCGAAAGCGUGGGUAGCAAACAGGAUUAGAUACCCGAGUAGUC
RNAcentral lists this ribosomal RNA (465 nucleotides) under Vreelandella stevensii. RNAcentral's name for it is "partial 16S ribosomal RNA". It matches the Rfam family "Bacterial small subunit ribosomal RNA", at positions 338 to 795 of the family's 1533-position model. The record is from RNAcentral. Lineage: Bacteria; Pseudomonadati; Pseudomonadota; Gammaproteobacteria; Oceanospirillales; Halomonadaceae.